RNAcentral lists this ribosomal RNA (350 nucleotides) under uncultured eukaryote. RNAcentral describes it as "SSU rRNA". It matches the Rfam family "Eukaryotic small subunit ribosomal RNA", at positions 567 to 912 of the family's 1831-position model. The record is from RNAcentral.
CCAGCAGCUGCGGUAAUUCCAGCUCCAAUAGCGUAUAUUAAAGUUGCUGCAGUUAAAAAGCUCGUAGUUGGAUUUCUGGCUUGUAACAUUUGGCCGGCCACGGUUUCGUGUGUUAGUGCUUGAUGUUCUGGCCAUCCUUCCAAUCGCUGCUUACUCUUCUUCAUUGAUGUGGUAAGUGGUAUUGGAUCUUUUACUUUGAACAAAUUAGAGUGUUUCAAGCAGGCUUUAUGCUAUGAAUACAUUAGCAUGGAAUAAUAAUUUAGGACUUCGGUUCUAUUUUGUUGGUUUCUAGGACUGAAGUAAUGAUUGAUAGGGACAGUUGGGGGUGCUAGUAUUCAGCGGCCAGAGGU